Molecule: long non-coding RNA, 204 nt
Filed under: Mytilus galloprovincialis (Mediterranean mussel)
Lineage: Eukaryota; Metazoa; Mollusca; Bivalvia; Mytilida; Mytilidae
Source: RNAcentral
CCAAAAUUAGAAUUUUAUUGGGAAAUACAACUUGAUAAAUAGAAUGCCUCACGAUUGCUUUCAGCCAUUAAAAAUAACGGAUUCUUAUGAAAGAGGGACGAAAGAUACCAGAGGGAAAGUCAAACUCAUAAAUCGAAUAUAAACUGACAACGCCAUGGCUAGAAAUGAAAAAAAAAACCAAACAGACAACCAAUAGUACACAUG